ACAAACCAGACAGACAGAUACUACAGUUAUCUUAUCCCAUGCUAAGAUUUUGUUGGCGACUCAGCGAUGGUGAGUCUAAAAGACUCAGAAGUGAACUCUCAGGUAAAUGAAGGAAGCUACUGAAUCAAAAAUAAGAACCCAAAUAUGAUGCUGCAGUUGCUGCUUCUACAGCCUUGACCCCCCAGCUACAACCAAGAUAACAGAUGGCAACCACAUUCUGCAAUCUUAACACUGGGUCUGGUCUGACAAAACUAAAUGAGUACCACCUGAAGCAGAUAGUCUC
Molecule: non-coding RNA, 283 nt
Organism: Prunus avium (sweet cherry)
Lineage: Eukaryota; Viridiplantae; Streptophyta; Magnoliopsida; Rosales; Rosaceae
Source: RefSeq, a predicted model, not a curated record